GUAUAUUCCUGGGAAGGGCAUACUAAAAUUAGUAAAGUUGCAAAGUUUGGUUGCGAAAUGUUGUAAAAUGUAAAAAAUAUAGCCUUGCAAAGUUUGCAAAUUUUGUAUACUUUUGUAUUGCAAUUUUCACAUGCAAUACAAAAGUAUGCAAAAUUUGCAAACUUUGCAAGGCUAUAUUUUCGGUAUUUUACAACAACAUUUUGCAACCAAAGUUUGCAAUAAUUUACUUAUUUUAGUAUGCUCUUUCUAGCUGUGGUC
Molecule: non-coding RNA, 258 nt
Organism: Paramuricea clavata
Lineage: Eukaryota; Metazoa; Cnidaria; Anthozoa; Malacalcyonacea; Plexauridae
Source: the annotation of a GenBank genome assembly